UAGAGUUUGAUCCUGGCUCAGAUUGAACGCUAGCGGCAUGCCUUACACAUGCAAGUCGAACGGCAGCACGGACUUCGGUCUGGUGGCGAGUGGCGAACGGGUGAGUAAUGUAUCGGAACGUGCCCUGUAUCGGGGGAUAACUACGCGAAAGCGUAGCUAAUACCGCAUACGCCCUACAUUAGAAAGCAAGAGAUCGCUUGACCUAUCUCUGUUGGAUCGGCCGAUAUCGGAUUAGCUAGUUGGUGGGGUAACGGCUCACCAAGGCGACGAUCCGUAUCUGGUUUGAGAGGACGACCAGCCACACUGGGACUGAGACACGGCCCAGACUCCUACGGGAGGCAGCAGUGGGGAAUUUUGGACAAUGGGGGAAACCCUGAUGCAGCCAUCCCGCGUGUGCGAUGAAGGUCUUCGGGUUGUAAAGCACUUUUGGCAGGAAAGAAACGUCGCGGGUUAAUACCCCGCGAAACUGACGGUACCUGCAGAAUAAGCACCGGCUAACUACGUGCCAGCAGCCGCGGUAAUACGUAGGGUGCAAGCGUUAAUCGGAAUUACUGGGCGUAAAGCGUGCGCAGGCGGUUCGGAAAGAAAGAUGUGAAAUCCCAGAGCUUAACUUUGGAACUGCAUUUUUAACUACCGGGCUAGAGUGUGUCAGAGGGAGGUGGAAUUCCGCGUGUAGCAGUGAAAUGCGU
RNAcentral lists this ribosomal RNA (689 nucleotides) under Achromobacter xylosoxidans. RNAcentral describes it as "bacterial SSU rRNA". It matches the Rfam family "Bacterial small subunit ribosomal RNA", at positions 1 to 691 of the family's 1533-position model. Lineage: Bacteria; Pseudomonadati; Pseudomonadota; Betaproteobacteria; Burkholderiales; Alcaligenaceae. The record is from RNAcentral.